RNAcentral lists this ribosomal RNA (253 nucleotides) under uncultured bacterium. RNAcentral describes it as "partial 16S ribosomal RNA". It matches the Rfam family "Bacterial small subunit ribosomal RNA", at positions 524 to 776 of the family's 1533-position model. The record is from RNAcentral.
UACAGAGGGGGCAAGCGUUGUUCGGAAUUACUGGGCGUAAAGGGCGCGUAGGCGGCCUGUUAAGUCAGACGUGAAAUCCCCGGGCUCAACCCGGGAACUGCGUCUGAUACUGGUAGGCUUGAAUCCGGGAGAGGGAUGCGGAAUUCCAGGUGUAGCGGUGAAAUGCGUAGAUAUCUGGAGGAACACCGGUGGCGAAGGCGGCAUCCUGGACCGGCAUUGACGCUGAGGCGCGAAAGCCAGGGGAGCAAGCGGG